UUCUGCAUCUUGUUAAGGAUUUUCAAAUCUAACCAGUGGAGUGCAGUCUAAAGUGCUCGGUGUCGGGAGUGAUAGGAAAUCAACCGGAGUAGCUCAGACGAAAGGGAGCUUUGUGACUCUCUGCCUGGGAGCUGGGUGAGACAGCAGAGUGGCAUCCUUGGACGCCUCUGGAGCCAGGGUCUCUGGGCUGCAGGGAGACACUCUGCGUCCUGUCCCACGUUCUCUGGCUUCAUCCAGAGAUGCUUCUGGAACCGGUCUUACAGACUGGCUUCCCCCAGUGGCAGCUCCCCACUGCCUGGCUCAACACCAGGGGGGAAGGGGCACCGUCUUCACUCAGUGCCAACUCAGACCCCUCCAGGAGAGACCUCUGCUGGGCUGAAGUGGAUCACUUGGUUUCUCCGUGGCUGUGGGGGACAGCCGCGGCCGGCCAGCAGUGCCCACCCCGGACUCCGCAGACCGGGGCUCGCCAUUCCGAACAGAUGGCGGUUCUCAAACCGAAUGCUAUUCCGAUGCGCGCUCACUUAGGAAAAAGGUCUAAAAAUAGACUUGAAUGAGCAUAACCUGCAAAAAUAAGUUGUCAGCUUCUUUUUACUCCUGCUGGGUGGAAAACAAAGCUGUCAGCAAUUUCUGCGAGUUGA
Long non-coding RNA from Suricata suricatta (meerkat), 638 nucleotides. RefSeq lists it as uncharacterized. The transcript is spliced from 2 exons. The record is from RefSeq and is a predicted model, not a curated record. NCBI's taxonomy places the organism in Eukaryota, Metazoa, Chordata, Mammalia, Carnivora, Herpestidae.